This is a long non-coding RNA of Anguilla anguilla (European eel), 2353 nucleotides long. RefSeq lists it as uncharacterized. The record is from RefSeq and is a predicted model, not a curated record. Lineage: Eukaryota; Metazoa; Chordata; Actinopteri; Anguilliformes; Anguillidae. The transcript has 2 exons.
CAAUCGCCAAUAGCCAUUAUUUAUUUCAACGGAAUACCCCAGCGAAGCAUCUUACCAUGAAGUCAGAACAGAAGCGUCGCCUGUUUGUUUGGAAUGAUGCUUUUCUUAGUUUUUGAAAUUGAUUCGCUUAUCUAAGGACAUUUUUUUUCUCGUGAAGAAGGUAUUCUGUGGAUUCCAACACAUUGCACAAUUUGUGACUUAAACAUUAUUUAAGGAUAAAAGUUUACUUUAUGCAAAUGGAAGAACAGUUGUUAAGAGAAGAAACCGGUACCAUCACCGCGUCCAUAUUCAUACGAGGAGCAAGAAAGAAUAUAAAAACCAAAUGCAAUAUCCUUGUUGAAUACACAUGUUGGUUACCUGGCUAGGAAGACGCAGGAAUGCUAUAUGUUAAUGCAUUUCUUUUAUUAUUCAUUGUAUGUUCACAUCAAGCUAAUAAUCCAAAUUAAAGAAGAAAAAAAUCUAAAAUGUUAUGAUUUUUUACUUCAGCUUGCUUUUUGAACUAGGCUACCGCUCAUGGAAAUGAGCCCCAGGCGCACCGCACCUUGCAGAUAACGACAGGUCACCGACAAGUGCAAUCCAGCCUCGGAUCCUUGGAGGACAAUGCCUUCCCUGCACCAUGGGGCUGUAGUAAUUGGAGUGUUUCUCAUUGUUACGGGUGGGGCCACUGCUUUCCUGAAGUCCAGCCACGGCAAGCUGCAGGCGUUCAGUCUGUGUUGUGUUGUGCUUGGUGCUCUGCUUUUGAUCCUUGGACUUUUUUGGGCUAUGAAUGGGAAAAGCAAUGCUGGCUCUUACGGCAGCGAAUACAGCCACGUCCUCUUUAACCCCCCGCCUGGUCAUUUUCCCGAAUCCCAGUCGGUUUUGUUCCAAAGAACCCUGGAGAGGCAAAGAUGCGCGGUAUAUGGGGAAGAUUUUGACUACCCGCCUGUGGAGUCCAGCUAUUGCAGCCCUCCACAGAGGCCACCUCACUGGGACCUGGAACCCCCACCCCCAUAUGAAGUAGCAAUCAAAAUCACGAGGAGCUCCACGCAUCUGCGCCGUAGCUAUUCGGACACGAUGUUGCCCACGGAACCCCUUUUCUGCCGCUCUCGAGAGAUCAGUUUUGAAGUCUGACAGCUCCUCCUGACCUCCAUUCUGUUUCCAGAGAACAGACAAACGUGAUGACUUACCUCCAACGUGUCUGUGCAGAUCAGCCUAAGACUGUUACACCACCCCUGUACCACCACUUCAGUCAGUAUCCACAGAUGAGCCCUGGAAUGUAGCAAACUCUCUGCACUUCUGUCUGUCUCUGGAGAUCAACCUUGGAGUGUGACAACCUCCUCUGGAUUCCUAUCUCUGCCUUAGAGAGUGGCAGCACCCCCAGGGAUCUUGUCCUUCUCUCCUCGAUCCCAGGAGCGUAGACCAGAUCGCUGGUGCUCUGUCACCCCUGAACUCUGAACCCAAAACCACUCAACAGCUUCCAAUCAAAGUUUGUGAGUGCGGGAAGUGGGAGUGUAACAUGGCAGGUAUAAAAUGGGUGGGAUGGGUGAGGUAUGUUUGAAAUGUCCGUGACAGCUGUUAAUAGUAUGAUUCAUAGUUACUUAAUGUGUGUAAACAUAGCAAAUGAUAAUUGCAAAGGGCCAAAUUAUUUAUUUUGGGGGUGGGGGGUUUUGAAAAGAAGUGUUCCUUAUAUGGUUAUAUAUUGUUUAAGCACAGUGUCUUGUGAGGUUGUGUUUGUGACUGAUGAAUAACUGGGUGCUCCAGCUCAUCAACUGAUAAUUUAUAAAAACUUGUAUAAUGCAUUUCAUGAAUAUAUUAGUAUAUGUAGCAUGGGACAAAGUAGCUAUGGUAACUUAUUUAACUUAUUGCAGAUUGCAGAGUAAGGAUAAGCAACUUUGUGGAGUGCUCAGUCCUACAGAUUAAAUUAGUCUCUCAGAACAGAUAAAUUGCAGAGUGCCUUCAUCACAUAUAUAUAGCAUUAUUUAUCACACAUAUAGCAUAAUUACUGACAAAUACAUGUAAACAAGGUAACAGUUUCCAGAACAAUAGGAUUUGGGUAGUUUGAACCUUUUAAUUUGCACUUUUAAUCAGUCAUUUUACCAAGUUAACACAGAUUCGAUCGCACCAUCAAAAGUAUUACUGUAUGAAAUGGCAUGCAUGAAGUUUCCAGAGAAAAGGACAAAUUAGCAUCGCAUUUAUCACAAGCUGCCUUUAAUGUAACACUCUCCAUCAGCUCACAUAGCUCAAAACUGACAUGCUUUUCCAGCUCACUUGAUGUGACAGUAUGAAAUUUGACCCAUAAAAUGGUUUCCAGAAUCCAACAGCUGUAGAAACUUACUGAACAGCAUUCAUUGAGAAUAAAAAUUAGUGUCAUUGA